AACGAACGCUGGCGGCAUGCCUAACACAUGCAAGUCGAACGAGACCUUCGGGUCUAGUGGCGCACGGGUGCGUAACGCGUGGGAACCUGCCCUUAGGUUCGGAAUAACUCCCCGAAAGGGGUGCUAAUACCGGAUAAUGUCUUCGGACCAAAGAUUUAUCGCCUUUGGAUGGGCCCGCGUUGGAUUAGCUAGUUGGUAGGGUAAAAGCCUACCAAGGCGACGAUCCAUAGCUGGUCUGAGAGGAUGAUCAGCCACACUGGGACUGAGACACGGCCCAGACUCCUCCGGGAGGGAGCAGUGGGGAAUAUUGGACACUGGGCGAAAGACUGAUCCAGCAAUGCCGCGUGAGUGAUGAAGGCCUUAGGGUUGUAAAGCUCUUUUACCCGGGAUGAUAAGGACAGUACCGGGAGAAUAAGCUCCGGCUAACUCCGU
Molecule: ribosomal RNA, 432 nt
Filed under: uncultured bacterium
Lineage: Bacteria
Description: partial 16S ribosomal RNA
Rfam family: Bacterial small subunit ribosomal RNA
Source: RNAcentral